GUGAUCUGGAAUUGGCCCCAUCCCCCAGCCCGCAGCCCCUCCUGCCACCCUGACACUGUCGUCCUACCUGGGGAGGUGCAGGGGGCCCCGAGCAAGGACCCAACAUCCCCGGGAGGCGGAGGCGGCGUGCAGGCCGUGCAGCUGGGUUCUCCUCUCGGCCUCAGCCGGAACGGGAGGGGCCCCUUUUCCUCACCUCCAGGGCCUGAUUUAAUCCUUGAGAGGCUCUGGUUUGGAAUUCUCAGGGCAUUGUCUAGAGGGUGAGGGGGUGUCCUGGGGGCUGGGGGCUGGAAGAGAGGAGGGCAUGCCCGCUCAGCCCCUGCCCUUCCCCCGGCAUCCCCUGGAGCCGGUGUUUAUCUUCCAGAUUCAGAAUUUCCAGGCAUGAUGACUGGUGUGAGUCAGACAAAAUGCACUUAGAAUUCAUCGUGACGGCCUCAAGGAGGUGGUCAGGAUGGACACCCACAGUCUGGUGCCCAGAUUACAGACGUCAGGACCAGCUGGGUGGGGACUGGUCGUGCCGAGUCAGGUGUGUGUGUGCCCGUGUGUGUGUGUGUCCGUGUUCCCGUGUGCCCGUGUUCCCGUGUGUGUGCCCGGUGUGUGUGCCCGUGUGUGUGUGUGUGUCCGUGUGUGUGUGUGUGUGUGUCCAUGUGCCCGUGUGUGUGUCUGUGUGCCCGUGUGUGUGUGUCCAUGUGCCCAUGUGUGUGUGCCCGUGUGUGUGUGUAUGCCUGUGUGUGUGUGUGUGUGUCCAUGUGCCCGUGUGUGUGUCUGUAUGUCCAGCAGGGGCACCUGUGUCCUCCCACGAAGCCUGGGCAUCAGGAGGCCCUCUGAGCUGAUGAUGGGAGUUGCUUUUUCUUGGAAAUACUGUUUAUGUUAACGAGCCAUGGGUUUCUGCGGCUCAUUAUUAUUUUACUGAGCAUUGGGCCUUUGGGUUUUGUCUGACAUGGGGAGACAGCAGUCUCAGAGGAGAGGAAACAGCAAGCAAGCGCUCUCCGCAAACGUCACGUGGCCCUGGGUGCAUCUCGAUCCUGGCCCUGCCCUGGGCGUCCUCCUGCGCCCCCGCCCCGGGCACAGCGGCCAGCGGGCAGCAGCGAGCCGGCGCGGGAGUCCUACAGGAAUCCCGUCCCAGUUGGCCCGAGGUGACUCCGGAUUGUCCAGGGAGCCUUUGGCUCCAUCUGCCUGGAAGCCUGCCCCUCUGCAGCCCGAGCCCAGGCCCGCGGGGGCGGCCAAGAGUGCGCGGGAGAGCUGCCGGCCAGGCACGCGGCCCGGCGGGGCAGGAAGCAACCUCCACGCAGCAGCUCGGGAGCCCGGCCCGGGGCUUGCUCCAGCCUCUGACUUCCUUUCUGCAAGAGCCACGCUGGGCCUGCCACCGUGGUUCCCCAACAGGCCUGCGGCAUCGGGGCCCUAUGACCGAAGUACACGUCCUCCUGGGGCAGGCUCAGGCCUCCGACCGUCCAGCGUGGCCCCCGGCCCUUCCAGUCUCAUGCGCCCCAUCAGAGGAAAUGUCCUCCUGGCCUCCCUGCCCUCCCUCGGACGCUGUGAGUCCACCUGCCACUUCCCCUGUGGACCGACCUGCACGACCUGCGAAGGAGAGGGUGAGACGGGGUCGGCAGGAAAAGAUGCACGCUCCAGCCCACGAAGACGUGUGGGAAGCUGCUUCCGGCAGGCCGGGGACAUCCUCUCUCCUCUUUUCCAGAAAGAAAAAACACACGGCCGGGAGGGCCAUGUGGGGUCUCCGCCACCUGGCUGGAUGGGAACCGGCGUCCUUGUCUGCACCGCCGUCUUGCCAUCACUCACGAGUGGCCCUGAAGAGCUCACAUCCUUGAGAGGACUGGUCCUCAGCACACCUCCUGCCUGGAAGAGCCUCCGGCACCUCGGGGGUCCCUAGGGUGCACUUGGAGAGCUGUGUCUCCCUCAUUCUCCUCAAGCCUCAGCCCAGCCUUGCCCUCCCUGCCUGUCCUCAGCCUCCCCCGGGAGCCUUGUAUUUCACAAUUGCUCUGCUCUUGUUCCUUCUGCUGAUGGCACAUUCCUUCCAUAUUUCCUUCUGCAAAUCCCUAAAAGAGAGAAUCCGUUUGGCGUGCUUCUCUUCUUUGAGCUGGAGCCCCAGGUCGAAGUCCUGGGCCCACUGUGGGGUUGGGGGAAGUCCUGGAGGGAGAACCCCACCCUGUGUGUGCAGGGAACAUUUACAAGUAUUCCUGAAUAAACUCCCGCUGCCAACAAGCCCA
Bos indicus x Bos taurus (hybrid cattle) is the source of this 2219-nucleotide long non-coding RNA. Ensembl lists it as uncharacterized. NCBI's taxonomy places the organism in Eukaryota, Metazoa, Chordata, Mammalia, Artiodactyla, Bovidae. The record is from Ensembl.